RNAcentral lists this small nucleolar RNA (398 nucleotides) under Gadus morhua (Atlantic cod). RNAcentral describes it as "Small Cajal body-specific RNA 2 (ENSGMOG00000025579.1)". It matches the Rfam family "Small Cajal body-specific RNA 2". The record is from Rfam by way of RNAcentral. Lineage: Eukaryota; Metazoa; Chordata; Actinopteri; Gadiformes; Gadidae.
CCGGAAGUUCCGGGGCAUGGUCUAUAAAUAGAAUAACCUGAGCGUUGUUUAACAUUCGUGCGGGAGUGAAUGGAGUAUGCUGUGUUGCGGUGUCUGUAUGUCUGUAUGUCCGUAUGUCUGAGAGCGUAAAUGAGUGCUUUUGUUUGUCUCUAUGUAUUUAAAACCUACACACUGAUCUUAUUUGAUCGACCCGGAUUCAGCCUUGGUCCGACGUCGAGAUGAUAAAACGAUACUUGCUAGCCUCUAAGGCGAUGUGCGUACGAAAUCCAAACUCCAGGGCUUCCACACGAAGUUGUGGUCAGACGUGAUGAUUUGAUCAGAUAUACUAGUCUUGAGUGGACUUGACUAAUCCUCAAGUUUCACAACAGACCAUGAGUAUAGAAGCGAUUCUGAUCUAA